AGAGUUUGAUCCUGGCUCAGGACGAACGCUGGCGGCGUGCCUAACACAUGCAAGUCGCGCGAGAAAGUCUCCGCAAGGGGGCGAGUAAAGCGGCGCACGGGUGCGUAACACGUGGGUAACCUGCCUGAAAGACCGGAAUAACCUUCCGAAAGGAGGGCUAAUACUGGAUAAGACCACGGGGGCUUUGGCCCUUGAGGUAAAAAGAUGGCCUCUGCAUGCAAGCUAUCACUUUCAGAGGGGCCCGCGGCCCAUCAGCUAGUUGGCGGGGUAAUGGCCCACCAAGGCGACGACGGGUAGCUGGUCUGAGAGGACGAUCAGCCACACUGGAACUGAGACACGGUCCAGACUCCUACGGGAGGCAGCAGUGGGGAAUUUUGCGCAAUGGGCGAAAGCCUGACGCAGCAACGCCGCGUGAGUGAUGAAGGUCUUCGGAUCGUAAAGCUCUUUCGGCCGGGACGAAAACGGCUGGGCUAAUAUCCCAGUCCUUGACGGUACCGGAAGAAGAAGCACCGGCUAACUCUGUGCCAGCAGCCGCGGUAAUACAGAGGGUGCGAGCGUUGUUCGGAAUCAUUGGGCGUAAAGCGCGUGUAGGCGGUGACGCAUGUCGGGUGUGAAAGCCCUCGGCUUAACCGGGGAAGUGCGCCCGAAACUGCGUCGCUGGAGUGCCGGAGAGGGUGGCGGAAUUCCCGGUGUAGAGGUGAAAUUCGUAGAUAUCGGGAGGAACACCAGUGGCGAAGGCGGCCACCUGGACGGACACUGACGCUGAGACGCGAAAGCGUGGGUAGCAAACAGGAUUAGAUACCCUGGUAGUCCACGCCGUAAACGAUGGAAACUAGGUGUGGCGGGUGUUGACCCCUGCCGUGCCGAAGCUAACGCAUUAAGUUUCCCGCCUGGGAAGUACGGCCGCAAGGUUAAAACUCAAAUGAAUUGACGG
This 934-nucleotide ribosomal RNA is filed under the name uncultured bacterium. RNAcentral describes it as "bacterial SSU rRNA". It matches the Rfam family "Bacterial small subunit ribosomal RNA", at positions 8 to 916 of the family's 1533-position model. The record is from RNAcentral.